Molecule: ribosomal RNA, 30 nt
Filed under: Cladosporium cladosporioides
Lineage: Eukaryota; Fungi; Ascomycota; Dothideomycetes; Cladosporiales; Cladosporiaceae
Description: partial 18S ribosomal RNA
Source: RNAcentral
UUCCGUAGGGAACCUGCGGAGGGAUCAUUA